This 73-nucleotide ribosomal RNA is filed under the name Parabacteroides distasonis. Its description in RNAcentral is "partial 23S ribosomal RNA". Lineage: Bacteria; Pseudomonadati; Bacteroidota; Bacteroidia; Bacteroidales; Tannerellaceae. The record is from RNAcentral.
AAGUGCUGCGAGGCAUUGAGCUAACCUGUACUAAUUGCCCGUGAGGCUUAACCAUACAACACCCAAGGGGUUU